AUUGAACGCUGGCGGAAUGCUUUACACAUGCAAGUCGAACGGCAGCACGGGGGCAGCCCUGGUGGCGAGUGGCGAACGGGUGAGUAAUACAUCGGAACGUGCCCGGUCGUGGGGGAUAACGUAGCGAAAGUUACGCUAAUACCGCAUACGAUCUGAGGAUGAAAGCGGGGGACCUUCGGACCUCGCGCGAUCGGAGCGGCCGAUGUCAGAUUAGGUAGUUGGUGGGGUAAAGGCCUACCAAGCCGACGAUCUGUAGCUGGUCUGAGAGGACGACCAGCCACACUGGGACUGAGACACGGCCCAGACUCCUACGGGAGGCAGCAGUGGGGAAUUUUGGACAAUGGGCGCAAGCCUGAUCCAGCCAUUCCGCGUGCAGGACGAAGGCCUUCGGGUUGUAAACUGCUUUUGUACGGAACGAAAAGGCUCUGGCUAAUACCUGGGGCUCAUGACGGUACCGUAAGAAUAAGCACCGGCUAACUACGUG
This 484-nucleotide ribosomal RNA is filed under the name uncultured bacterium. RNAcentral describes it as "partial 16S ribosomal RNA". It matches the Rfam family "Bacterial small subunit ribosomal RNA", at positions 30 to 507 of the family's 1533-position model. The record is from RNAcentral.